GGGCGGCCCCCCCCAGAUGGGUCUGCAUGUGGCCGGCCAGCUGGGCAGGGGUCUUGCAGUGCACGCUGCACAGCUUGCACAGGAUGCGGUCAGCCCGCGGGGCCUGGAGCCCAUGGUCCUUCACCGCGUGGAUGCGCAGGGUUCUCUACACGCCACGAGCUCUUGGCUGCAGCACCCUUGACCCAAAUCAGUGAAAAAACCAACAGCUCUGUGCCCACCCAACCCCACUUUAUCCCUGCCCUCCUAGCAUCCCUUAGCAUGUACCUUUGUUGCAGAGCUCACAGACAUGGUGAGGGCCCUGGCUGUGCACCUUCAUGUGGUCCGAAAUAUAAGCUGAGCUCAGCAUCUUGCCACACACA
Non-coding RNA from Rattus norvegicus (Norway rat), 359 nucleotides. NCBI's taxonomy places the organism in Eukaryota, Metazoa, Chordata, Mammalia, Rodentia, Muridae. The record is from RefSeq and is a predicted model, not a curated record.